AGAGUUUGAUCAUGGCUCAGGACGAACGCUGGCGGCGUGCCUAACACAUGCAAGUCGAACGCGAUCCAGAAAGUAGUUUACUAUGAUCUGGUGAAAGUGGCGGACGGGUGAGUAACGCGUGGGUAACCUGGCCUAUGGAAGGGGAUAGCCUCGGGAAACCGGGAUUAAUACCGUAUGUAGUUGGCGGAUCGCAUGGUCUGCCAAUGAAAGAUUUAUCGCCAUAGGAUGGACCCGCGUCCCAUUAGCUAGUUGGUGAGAUAACAGCCCACCAAGGCGACGAUGGGUAGCCGGCCUGAGAGGGCGAACGGCCACACUGGGACUGAGACACGGCCCAGACUCCUACGGGAGGCAGCAGUGGGGAAUAUUGCGCAAUGGGGGCAACCCUGACGCAGCAACGCCGCGUGAAUGAUGAAGGUCUUCGGAUCGUAAAGUUCUGUCGAAGGGGAAGAAGAAAUGACGGUACCCUUAGAGGAAGCCCCGGCUAACUACGUGCCAGCAGCCGCGGUAAUACGUAGGGGGCAAGCGUUGUCCGGAUUUACUGGGCGUAAAGGGCGUGUAGGCGGUUUUUUAAGUCAGGUGUGAAAGUUCGGGGCUUAACCCCGGAAUURCAUUUGAAACUGGAGAACUUGAGUACUGGAGAGGUAAGUGGAAUUCCUAGUGUAGCGGUGAAAUGCGUAGAUAUUAGGAGGAACACCAGUGGCGAAGGCGACUUACUGGACAGAUACUGACGCUGAGGCGCGAAAGCGUGGGGAGCGAACAGGAUUAGAUACCCUGGUAGUCC
RNAcentral lists this ribosomal RNA (781 nucleotides) under uncultured bacterium. RNAcentral's name for it is "bacterial SSU rRNA". It matches the Rfam family "Bacterial small subunit ribosomal RNA", at positions 8 to 796 of the family's 1533-position model. The record is from RNAcentral.